AUAAAAAGUAAAAUCUAAGUAAAGGUGAAAAAGGGUUUUCAUUCUCACGAUACUUCCGAUUCGAACACAUGGUUCUCAUUCGCGGUUCCAUUCAAUCUCCAUCAUUUUGUGGUUGAAUUCAAAUUUCAACGUUGAAAUUCAAUGAUGGUUUUAGAUCGCAUUCCACUCUUCAACUUUCUCUUGACUUCGGUGUCUCUUCAGCCAGAUUUCAACGAUGCUCAAAUCAAAUCUGACACAACUUGCCCUUGCAAACAUCUGACUGAUUGAGCUUCAUUUUUUUGGUACUAAAUCGGUAAGGUUUUGGUUAAUUUUGUUUAAUUUUCUCAACUUGCUGAAGCAGUGAUGUAUUUGUUGUUUUUGCCCUUACCGGUUGAAGAGAAGAAAAAUGCGGAUUUCGUCCUCGCUCGCAAGGUGUUCGAUGAAAUGUCCCAACCGGGUUAUUUCUUCUUUUUGCUUCAGUUUUGAUUUUCUCAAGUGAUAAUAAUAUAUUGUUAUUAUCUCAAUUGCUAGAGUACAUAGCUAUCUACAUUUCAUUUAUCUACACUCUUUACAAUUGUAAAUUGCUAGAAGUACCUAACCGAAAACAGAAAAAGUGCAUCACUGGUAGCAUAUGAUGGGCAGUAAGCGUGACUGAUCUACUUUGUUACUCUACAGUAUGGGCGAAGGUGAGAACAAUGAAGCAGAAGUGGCUGUGAUUGGAUUUUGGAGUGGAUUUGCUUGGUUGGCUGGAAUGACUGUUCAUUGCUAUAUUGUCUGAAUAUGUGGUGGAUACAAUUGAGGAAACUGGAGAAUUUGAUUUGGAACUUGACAAGCCGACUAGGACUAAUGCGCCAAGGUGGAAAGUUAAGUUUAUCAUAUGAAGCAGAGAGAUAUCAACUUUAUUCCAUAAAGGUUUUGCACUUAACAUUACAUUGUUUAUUUUUUAUUUAUAAUUUAACUUUAACUUACUAAUCAUAAUUUGAUAUGGUUAAUUAGAAUUGGUCCCUAUUUGUACCAAUUUUCAUUCAUUACAUGUUAAUUUCUAGCACAUGAUUUGUCUUUUGGAGAAAACCAUUGUUGCAUAACUUUGGUGAUUAUGUAUACUAUUUAGUAUUUAGUAGAAGCAAUACAUAUCUAGAGACUGUAUAAUUUUUUUUUUAAUUUUUUAAAUAAUUUACCUGCGGAUUUUUCUGCGGAUUUUUCCUGCGGAUUUAGCUGAGGAAUUACCUGCGGAACUUCCUGCCGAAAAUAUUACCCACGAAGGUUUUAGCUGGGGACGAAAAACCGCAGGAAAAUCCGCAGGUAAGGUGUUUCCUGCGGAAAUUUAGCUAAAAUCCGCAGGUAAAUCCGUAGGAAAUUUGAGUAUUUCUAGUAGUGUUAUGUCGAAAAUAUCCGAACUCUAAAAUAUCAGAAUAGUAUUAUUGAAAUGUUAGUAAGGCAUAUAACUCAUAUAAUCAACUUCAAGCUAAUCAUAACUAACUGCCUAUGAAACACGAAUAAAUCAUGUAGCACUCUCACCAAUAAACGCGAUUUGGAGAAGCGAAACUCAUUGCUACUCAUCCGUUCACGGGCAUUGGAAAGAAUGUUACUGCAAUUCCAACCUGUAGUAGUGAGCAGGAAAUUGUCAUGUUUCAUAAAAUGCAGAACUGCAACAACAAAGAGACCCAUCAUAAUUAAUUUCUGCCUCAUAUAUUAUUUACAAACCAUGUGAAAUUUGCAAACCUAUUCGUAUUUUUGUGAGUUAAACAUUCUUAUCCUUGUGCUUCCAAGAUCUGUUACACAUUACAAUCAAAACAAUUUCAUACAAAAACAGUAAAUAUCUCAAACAGGUUUUGAAUAACAAACAAUUCAAAACAAAAAUAAAAUAUUUUAAAGAAUCAAAUAAACAAAAACACUAUCAUAUGAACAUGAACAUAUAUAAAUAGUUACAGACAUACAUACCCCAUUCAAAUGCCUCCUUCCAGAAGCAAAGCAA
Vicia villosa (hairy vetch) is the source of this 1954-nucleotide long non-coding RNA. RefSeq lists it as uncharacterized. The record is from RefSeq and is a predicted model, not a curated record. NCBI's taxonomy places the organism in Eukaryota, Viridiplantae, Streptophyta, Magnoliopsida, Fabales, Fabaceae. The transcript has 3 exons.